GACGAACGCUGGCGGCGUGCUUAACACAUGCAAGUCGAACGGAAAGGCCCUGCUUUCGGGGUGCUCGCGUGUCGAACGGGUGAGUAACACGUGUGUGAUCUGCCCUCCACUCCUGGGUAUGCCUUGGGAACAGGGUCGAAUACCGGAUAUGAGCCAUUCUUAGUGUUAUUGUUGGAUAGUUUUUUCCGUGUAGGAUGAGAUCGCUGCCUAUCUGCUUGUUUGUGGGGUUAUUGCCUAUCUAGGCGGCGUCGGGUAGCCGGCCUGGGUGGGUGGACGGCCAAAUUGGGGCUGAGGUACGGCCCAGAAUCCUAAGGGAGGCCAGAGGGGGGAAUAUUGCACAAUGGGCGGGAGCCUGGUGCAGCGACGCCGGGGGGGGGAUGAACGCCUUCGGGUUGGAAAACCCCUUCGCUAGGGACGAAGCUGUUAGUGACGGUACCUAGAUAAGAAGCACCGGCUAACUACGUG
RNAcentral lists this ribosomal RNA (465 nucleotides) under uncultured bacterium. Its description in RNAcentral is "partial 16S ribosomal RNA". It matches the Rfam family "Bacterial small subunit ribosomal RNA", at positions 28 to 507 of the family's 1533-position model. The record is from RNAcentral.